This 468-nucleotide ribosomal RNA is filed under the name uncultured bacterium. RNAcentral's name for it is "partial 16S ribosomal RNA". It matches the Rfam family "Bacterial small subunit ribosomal RNA", at positions 28 to 507 of the family's 1533-position model. The record is from RNAcentral.
GACGAACGCUGGCGGCGUGCUUAACACAUGCAAGUCGAACGGAAAGGCCCUGCUUUUGUGGGGUGCUCGAGUGGCGAGCGGGUGAGUAACACGUGAGUAACCUGCCCUUGACUUUGGGAUAACUUCAGGAAACUGGGGCUAAUACCGGAUAGGAGCUCCUGCUGCAUGGUGGGGGUUGGAAAGUUUCGGCGGUUGGGGAUGGACUCGCGGCUUAUCAGCUUGUUGGUGGGGUAGUGGCUUACCAAGGCUUUGACGGGUAGCCGGCCUGAGAGGGUGACCGGCCAAAUUGGAACUGGGAUGCGGCCCAGACUCCUACGGGAGGAAGCAGUGGGGAAUAUUGCACAAUGGGCGGAAGCCUGAUGCAGCAACGCCGCGUGCGGGAUGACGGCCUUCGGGUUGUAAACCGCUUUCGCCUGUGACGAAGCGUGAGUGACGGUAAUGGGUAAAGAAGCACCGGCUAACUACGUG